RNAcentral lists this ribosomal RNA (254 nucleotides) under uncultured bacterium. Its description in RNAcentral is "partial 16S ribosomal RNA". It matches the Rfam family "Bacterial small subunit ribosomal RNA", at positions 524 to 776 of the family's 1533-position model. The record is from RNAcentral.
UACGUAGGGCGCAAGCGUUGUCCGGAAUUAUUGGGCGUAAAGAGCUCGUAGGCGGUUUGUCGCGUCUGCUGUGAAAACCUAAGGCUCAACCUCGGGCCUGCAGUGGGUACGGGCAGACUAGAGUGCGGUAGGGGAGAUUGGAAUUCCGGGUGUAGUGGUGGAAUGCGUAGAGAUCCGGAGGAACACCAGCGGCGAAGGCGGCAUCCUGGACUGGUACUGACGCUCAGGAGCGAAAGCGUGGGGAGGCGAUCCGG